UACGGAGGAUCCAAGCGUUAUCCGGAAUCAUUGGGUUUAAAGGGUCUGUAGGCGGUUUUGUAAGUCAGUGGUGAAAGCCCAUCGCUCAACGGUGGAACGGCCAUUGAUACUGCAAGACUUGAAUUAUUAGGAAGUAACUAGAAUAUGUAGUGUAGCGGUGAAAUGCUUAGAUAUUACAUGGAAUACCAAUUGCGAAGGCAGGUUACUACUAAUAUAUUGACGCUGAUGGACGAAAGCGUGGGGAGCGAACAGG
Molecule: ribosomal RNA, 253 nt
Filed under: uncultured bacterium
Lineage: Bacteria
Description: partial 16S ribosomal RNA
Rfam family: Bacterial small subunit ribosomal RNA
Source: RNAcentral